GCGGGCGUAGUUCAUCGGUAGAAUGAAAGCUUCCCAAGCUUUAGAGAGGGGUCCGACUCCCCCCGCCCGCU
Molecule: transfer RNA, 71 nt
Filed under: Schwartzia succinivorans DSM 10502
Lineage: Bacteria; Bacillati; Bacillota; Negativicutes; Selenomonadales; Selenomonadaceae
Rfam family: tRNA
About the family: Transfer RNA (tRNA) molecules are approximately 80 nucleotides in length.
Source: Rfam by way of RNAcentral